GGGGGAGGGCGGGAAGCGUGCGGACCCGCCCGGGUAAGCGUCGCCCCGGGGCUUGCCGGGAGACGUAGUCUGUGGCGCGCCCCGCGCCCCGUGCCGGCGCCCGCCCCGCUGCAGGUACCCAGCGGUGAGGAGUUACGCACCGCGGCCGUGCGUCCCGCGGGUUGUUGUCCCUCACCCGGUCAGGGCCUCGCUCCUGAAGGCUGGACGUCCCCGAGGGCUCUUGGAGGCUCGGGACGUGCCGCUUAUUGUUCACCCCUGCGAGGGCAGGAUCGUUACUCAGCUCCCUCCUAGGUCCUAGGUCUUGUGAUGAAAGCUGUGAACUUCACUGCGAGGGGCUAACGGAAGGAAACCCCAAGAGUUGGCUCAGCAUCUCCUUUCCCUCCGGCGACAUUCAAGACCGUGGGCUCAAGAAAUAGAGGCUUCGUAGGAGUGAAUCGUGACAACCAGUAACCUCUUAUUGAGCGCCUGCCUAAUGCAGCUGGGCGCUCACAGCACACAAAACUGUGGGACGGAGACGCUAUUAUCAUCCCCAUGUACGGAUAACAGCACCAAGUGUCAGUUAACGCCCUGUUCGGGGUCCCACAGCUAGUCUGUCGCUUUAUAAAGUUCAAGGCUGUCAUAAUAGUAAGGGUGAUGUGAGGACGGAGAGGCUGGCUUUGGACGACUGGCUGGAAAGAGUCCUGAGUAUUUUGUUUUCUUGUGCUCGAGGGAAAGAGGUCCACAGCUGUUGUGGCAAAUGUGGCCUUAGCAGCCGAAGAGCACGCAGGCAGGAUAUCCAGUACCAAGGCCUGGCCUGAGCUUCCCAGCAGAGCACAGAGAAGAGCCAUGGGUAAAAGGACUGCAGAAUUCCAAAGAAAUGAAACAAGUAUUUGGCUUCAAGUUAAGGUUUUAAGAUCAGGAGAGACACAGAUAUGUACCUGCAGCUAUUUGGUCAACUGAUCUUUAAAGAAUAUCCAAUGGAAAAAAGAGUCUCUUCAACAAAUCGUGUUGGUAAAAUUGGACAGCAACAUGCAGAAGAAUGAAAUUGGAUCGCUUUCUUAUACCAUACACAAAAAUAAAUUCAAAAUGGAUGAAAUACCUAAAUGUGAGACAUAAAACCAUCAAAAUCCUAGAGGAGAACACAGGGAGAAACCUCUUUGACCUCGGCUGCAGCAACUUCUUGCUAGACACGUCGCUAGAGGUGAGGGAACAAAACCAAAAAUGAACUAUCGGGACUUUGUCAACUGCACAGCAAAGGAAACAAUCAACAAAACUAAAAGGCCACCUACAGAAUCGGAGAAGAUAUUUGCAAAUGACAUAUCUGAUAAAGGGUUAGUAUCCAAAAUCUAUAAAGACUUAUCAAACUCAACACCCAAAAAACAAAUAACCCAGUUAAGAAAUGGACAGAAAACAUGAACACUUUUCCAAAGACAUCCAGAUGGCUUACAGACACAUGAAAAGAUGUUCAACAUCACUCAUCAUCAGGGAAAUACAAAUUAAAACCACAAUGAGAUGCCACCUCACACGUGUGAGAAUGGCUAAAAUUAACAACAGAAGAAACAACAGGUGUUGGGGAGGAUGUGGAUAAAGGGGAACCCUCUUGCACUGUUGGUGGGAAUGCGAACUGGUGCAGCCACUCUGGAGAACAGUUUGGAGGUUCCUCAAAAAGUUAAAAAUAGAACCACCCUACAAUCCAGCAAUUGCACUAGUAGGUAUUUAACCCGAAGGAUACAAAAUAAAGUAGAUAUUUAACCCAAAGGAUACAAAAAUACAGAUUCGAAGGGGCACAUGCACCCUAAUGUUUAUAGCAGCAUUAUCAACAAUAACUAAACUAUGGAGAGAGUCCAAAUGUCCAUCGUCGACUGAUGAAUGGAUAAAGAUGUGAUACACACACACACACACACACAGGAAUAUUAUUCAACCAUCAAGAAUGAAAUCGUGCCAUUUGCAAUGACAUGGAUGGAGCUAGAGUGCUAAGUGAAAUAAGUCAGUCAGAGAAAGACAAAUACCAUAUGACCUCACUUAUAUGUGUAAUUUAAGUAAGAAAACAGAUGAACAUAUGGGAAGGGAGAAAGGAAAAAGGAGGAAAGAGGGAAACAAGCCAUACAUGAUUCUUUUUUUUUUAAGAUUUUAUUUAUUUAUUAGAGAGAGACACAGCAAGAGAGGGAACAC
Mirounga angustirostris (Northern elephant seal) is the source of this 2151-nucleotide long non-coding RNA. RefSeq lists it as uncharacterized. Lineage: Eukaryota; Metazoa; Chordata; Mammalia; Carnivora; Phocidae. The record is from RefSeq and is a predicted model, not a curated record. The transcript has 3 exons.